GAUGAACGCUAGCUACAGGCUUAACACAUGCAAGUCGAGGGGAAACGACAUCGAAAGCUCGCUUUUGAUGGGCGUCGACCGGCGCACGGGUGAGUAACGCGUAUCCAACCUGCCCACCACUUGGGGAUAACCUUGCGAAAGUAAGACUAAUACCCAAUGAUAUCUCUAGAAGACAUCUGAAAGAGAUUAAAGAUUUAUCGGUGAUGGAUGGGGAUGCGUCUGAUUAGCUUGUUGGCGGGGUAACGGCCCACCAAGGCGACGAUCAGUAGGGGUUCUGAGAGGAAGGUCCCCCACAUUGGAACUGAGACACGGUCCAAACUCCUACGGGAGGAAGCAGUGAGGAAUAUUGGUCAAUGGGCGAGAGCCUGAACCAGCCAAGUAGCGUGCAGGAUGACGGCCCUAUGGGUUGUAAACUGCUUUUAUAAGGGAAUAAAGUGAGCCUCGUGAGGCUUUUUGCAUGUACCUUAUGAAUAAGGACCGGCUAAUUCCGUGCCAGCCGCCGCCGUAA
This 508-nucleotide ribosomal RNA is filed under the name uncultured bacterium. RNAcentral's name for it is "partial 16S ribosomal RNA". It matches the Rfam family "Bacterial small subunit ribosomal RNA", at positions 28 to 523 of the family's 1533-position model. The record is from RNAcentral.